CCCUUAGAUGUUCUGGGCCGCACGCGCGCUACACUGAUGCACUCAACGAGUCUCCACCUUGACCGAAAGGUCCGGGAAACCUUCGAACUUGCAUCGUGAUGGGGAUAGAUUAUUGCAACUAUUAAUCUUCAACGAGGAAUACCUAGUAGGCGCAUGUCAUCAGCGUGCGUCGAUUACGUCCCUGCCCUUUGUACACACCGCCCGUCGCUCCUACCGAUUGAAUGAUUUAGUGAGGACUUCGGACUGGGACCGAUGCGGCUUUCGGGCUGCGUCGGUAUUCUGGAAAGAUGUCCAAACUGUAUCAUUUAGAGGAAGUAAAAGUCGUAACA
Molecule: ribosomal RNA, 329 nt
Filed under: uncultured eukaryote
Lineage: Eukaryota
Description: partial 18S ribosomal RNA
Rfam family: Eukaryotic small subunit ribosomal RNA
Source: RNAcentral